GACUCUGAGACAGGUGGAUCCGAGUUUGAAGCCAGCCGGAUCUACAGAGCGAGUUGUAGGACAGCCAGGGCUACACAGAGAAACCCUGUCU
Molecule: non-coding RNA, 91 nt
Organism: Arvicanthis niloticus (Nile rat)
Lineage: Eukaryota; Metazoa; Chordata; Mammalia; Rodentia; Muridae
Source: RefSeq, a predicted model, not a curated record